AUGAGGGGAGCAGGCCCUACUGUCGGGAGAAGGAGCGGAGCAGGCCCUACUGUAGGGAGAAAGAGCGGAGCAGGCCCUACUGUCGGGAGAAGGAGGGGAGUAGGCCCUACUGUCGGGAGAAGGAGGGGAGCAGGCCCUACUGUUGGGAGAAGGAGCGGAACAGACCCUACUGUAGGGAGAAGGAGGGGAGCAGGCCCUACUGUAGGGAGAAGGAGGGGAGCAGGCCCUACUGUAGGGAGAAGGAGGGGAGCAGGCCCAACUGUUGCGAGAAGGAGGGGAGUAGGCCCUACUGUUGCGAGAAGGAGGGGAGUAGGCCCUACUGUCGGGAGAAGGAGGGGAGCAGGCCCUACUGUUGGGAGAAGGAGCGGAACAGGCCCUACUGUAGGGAGAAGGAGGGGAGCAGGCUCUACUGUAGGGAGAAGGAGCGGAGCAGGCCCUACUGUAGGGAGAAGGAGGGGAGCAGGCCCUACUGUAGGGAGAAGGAGCGGAGCAGGCCCUACUGUAGGGAGAAGGAGGGGAGUAGGCCCUACUGUCGGGAGAAGGAGGGGAGCAGGCCCUACUGUUGGGAGAAGGAGCGGAGCAGGCCCUACUGUAGGGAGAAGGAUGGGAGCAGGCCCUACUGUAGGGAGAAGGAGGGGAGCAGGCCCUACUGUAGGGAGAAGGAGGGGAGCAGGCACUACUGUAGGGAGAAGGAGCGGAGCAGGCCCUACUGUAGGGAGAAGGAGGGGAGCAGGCUCUACUGUAGGGAGAAGGAGCGGAGCAGGCCCUACUGUAGGGAGAAGGAGGGGAGCAGGCCCUACUGUAGGGAGAAGGAGCGGAGCAGGCCCUACUGUAGGGAGAAGGAGGGGAGCAGGCCCUACUGUAGGGAGAAGGAGGGGAGCAGGCCCUACUGUAGGGAGAAGGAGGGGAGCAGGCCCAACUGUUGCGAGAAGGAGGGGAGUAGGCCCUACUGUUGCGAGAAGGAGGGGAGUAGGCCCUACUGUCGGGAGAAGGAGGGGAGCAGGCCCUACUGUUGGGAGAAGGAGCGGAACAGGCCCUACUGUAGGGAGAAGGAGGGGAGCAGGCUCUACUGUAGGGAGAAGGAGCGGAGCAGGCCCUACUGUAGGGAGAAGGAGGGGAGCAGGCCCUACUGUAGGGAGAAGGAGCGGAGCAGGCCCUACUGUAGGGAGAAGGAGGGGAGUAGGCCCUACUGUCGGGAGAAGGAGGGGAGCAGGCCCUACUGUUGGGAGAAGGAGCGGAGCAGGCCCUACUGUAGGGAGAAGGAUGGGAGCAGGCCCUACUGUAGGGAGAAGGAGGGGAGCAGGCCCUACUGUAGGGAGAAGGAGGGGAGCAGGCACUACUGUAGGGAGAAGGAGCGGAGCAGGCCCUACUGUAGGGAGAAGGAGGGGAGCAGGCCCUACUGUAGGGAGAAGGAGCGGAGCAGGCCCUACUGUAAGGAGAAGGAGGGGAGCAGGCUCUACUGUAGGGAGAAGGAGCGGAGCAGGCCCUACUGUAGGGAGAAGGAGCGGAGCAGGCCCUACUGUAGGGAGAAGGAGGGGAGUAGGCCCUACUGUCGGGAGAAGGAGGGGAGCAGGCCCUACUGUUGGGAGAAGGAGCGGAGCAGGCCCUACUGUAGGGAGAAGGAUGGGAGCAGGCCCUACUGUAGGGAGAAGGAGGGGAGCAGGCCCUACUGUAGGGAGAAGGAGGGGAGCAGGCCCUACUGUCGGGAGAAGGAGGGGAGCAGGCCCUACUGUAAGGAGAAGGAGCGGAGCAGGCCCUACUGUAGGGAGAAGGAGCGGAGCAGGCCCUACUGUAGGGAGAAGGAGGGGAGUAGGCCCUACUGUCGGGAGAAGGAGGGGAGCAGGCCCUACUGUUGGGAGAAGGAGCGGAGCAGGCCCUACUUUAGGGAGAAGGAGCGGAGCAGGCCCUACUGUAGGGAGAAGGAGGGGAGUAGGCCCUACUGUCGGAGAAGGAGGGGAGCAGCCUACUGUUGGGAGAAGGAGGGGAGCAGGCCCUACUGUAGGGAGAAGGAGGGGAGUAGGCCCUACUGUAGGGAGAAGGAGGGGAGCAGGCCCUACUGUCGGGGAGAGGAGGGAGCAGGCCCUACUGUAG
RNAcentral lists this long non-coding RNA (2091 nucleotides) under Salmo trutta (river trout). Its description in RNAcentral is "lncRNA (ENSSTUG00000000680.1)". The record is from RNAcentral. Lineage: Eukaryota; Metazoa; Chordata; Actinopteri; Salmoniformes; Salmonidae.